RNAcentral lists this ribosomal RNA (502 nucleotides) under uncultured bacterium. Its description in RNAcentral is "partial 16S ribosomal RNA". It matches the Rfam family "Bacterial small subunit ribosomal RNA", at positions 28 to 523 of the family's 1533-position model. The record is from RNAcentral.
GAUGAACGCUAGCGGCAGGCCUAACACAUGCAAGUCGAGGGGCAGCACAGAAACAGCAAUGUUUUGGUGGCGACCGGCGGACGGGUGCGUAACGCGUAUGCAACCUACCUUUAACAGGGGGAUAACGGAGAGAAAUUUCCACUAAUACCCCAUAACAUCGAUCAAGGCAUCUUGAUUGGUUGAAAACUCCGGUGGUUAAAGAUGGGCAUGCGUUGUAUUAGGUAGUUGGUGAGGUAAUGGCUCACCAAGCCUACGAUACAUAGGGGGACUGAGAGGUUAGCCCCCCACACUGGUACGGAGACACGAACCAGACUCCUACGGGAGGCAGCAGUGAGGAAUAUUGGUCAAUGGGGGCAACCCUGAACCAGCCAUGCCGCGUACAGGAAGACGGCUCUAUGAGUUGUAAACUGCUUUUAAACAGGGAUAAAGCACAGUAUGUAUACUGUGUUGAAGGUACUGUAAGAAUAAGGAUCGGCUAACUCCGUGCCAGCAGCCGCCGUAA